This 92-nucleotide transfer RNA is filed under the name Microbacterium sp. SD291. Its description in RNAcentral is "tRNA-Ser". It matches the Rfam family "tRNA". From Rfam's summary of the family: Transfer RNA (tRNA) molecules are approximately 80 nucleotides in length. Their secondary structure includes four short double-helical elements and three loops (D, anti-codon, and T loops). Further hydrogen bonds mediate the characteristic L-shaped molecular structure. tRNAs have two regions of fundamental functional importance: the anti-codon, which is responsible for specific mRNA codon recognition, and the 3' end, to which the tRNAs corresponding amino acid is attached (by aminoacyl-tRNA synthetases). tRNAs cope with the degeneracy of the genetic code in two manners: having more than one tRNA (with a specific anti-codon) for a particular amino acid; and 'wobble' base-pairing, i.e. permitting non-standard base-pairing at the 3rd anti-codon position. The record is from RNAcentral. Lineage: Bacteria; Bacillati; Actinomycetota; Actinomycetes; Micrococcales; Microbacteriaceae.
GGAGACGUCGCAUAGUCCGGCCUAGUGCACCACCCUGCUAAGGUGGAGUCCUCGCAAGGGGACCGAGGGUUCAAAUCCCUCCGUCUCCGCCA